UUCAAAGAGUGCGUAAUAGCUCACUGGUCGAGUGAUCCUGCGCCGAAGAUUUCCGGGGCUAAAACUUACUACCGAAGCUACGGCAUCAGUAAUGAUGGGUAGGGGAGCUUCCCAUACGGGUUGAAGCAUGACCGUAAGGACAUGUGGACAGUAUGGGAGUGAGAAUGUUGGCAUGAGUAGCGAGAUGUGGGUGAGAAUCCCACAGGCCGUAAACCCAAGGUUUCCAGGGGAAGGUUCGUCCGCCCUGGGUUAGUCGGGACCUAAGCUGAGGCCGAAAGGCGUAGGUGAUGGACAACAGGUUGAUAUUCCUGUACUACCGAUAACCGUUUGAGAGAAGGGAUGACACAGUAGGAUAAGCUAAGCACACUGUUGGUUAUGUGUGCCCAAGCAUUGAGGCAGUCAAAGUAGGCAAAUCCGCUUUGAUAAUGCUGGGAUGUGAUGGGGAGCGAAAUUUAGUAGCGAAGUAGCUGAUUUCACACUGUCAAGAAAAGUCUCUAUCGAGGUUAAAGGUACCCGUACCGCAAACCGACACAGGUGGGUGAGGAGAGUAUCCUAAGGCCAGCGAGAGAACUGUUGUUAAGGAACUCGGCAAAAU
Molecule: ribosomal RNA, 595 nt
Filed under: Clostridioides difficile
Lineage: Bacteria; Bacillati; Bacillota; Clostridia; Peptostreptococcales; Peptostreptococcaceae
Description: partial 23S ribosomal RNA
Rfam family: Bacterial large subunit ribosomal RNA
Source: RNAcentral